Molecule: ribosomal RNA, 467 nt
Filed under: uncultured bacterium
Lineage: Bacteria
Description: partial 16S ribosomal RNA
Rfam family: Bacterial small subunit ribosomal RNA
Source: RNAcentral
GACGAACGCUGGCGGCGUGCUUAACACAUGCAAGUCGAACGGAAAGGCCCUGCUUUUGUGGGGUGCUCGAGUGGCGAACGGGUGAGUAACACGUGAGUAACCUGCCCUUGACUUUGGGAUAACUUCAGGAAACUGGGGCUAAUACCGGAUAGGAGCUCCUGCUGCAUGGUGGGGGUUGGAAAGUUUCGGCGGUUGGGGAUGGACUCGCGGCUUACCAGCUUGUUGGUGGGGUAGUGGCUUACCAAGGCUUUGACGGGUAGCCGGCCUGAGAGGGUGACCGGCCACAUUGGGACUGAGAUACGGCCCAGACUCCUACGGGAGGCAGCAGUGGGGAAUAUUGCACAAUGGGCGGAAGCCUGAUGCAGCAACGCCGCGUGCGGGAUGACGGCCUUCGGGUUGUAAACCGCUUUCGCCUGUUACGAAGCGUGAGUGACGGUAAUGGGGAAAGAAGCACCGGCUAACUACGU